AAUACGGAAGCAAGUACUAGGUCUGCUCAGAACAGAAAAGCGAAGCAACUUGGACUGAAGAGCAUCAACAAUGAAGAUAACACCAAAUUUAAUAUAUCCAAUGUUCAGAAUUGAAAAGCCAGAGACAAAAGCAGUGACACAGAUCCACCACUUAUCUGCAAGAUCGCGCACAAGCCACAACCUCCUGCUGUUACCAUCACUACCGGCCUUCCACCGCCGGUCCAGGCGAGCAGGGCGGGGGGUAGCAGAACGGGCACUUGGCCUCGCACUCGCUGUGCGUGAAGUAGCAUCGCGGCGCCGGCCGCUCCAGCGCGCAGCAAAAGCAGGGCUCGCCCACCACGCCCCGCAGCCCUUUGUCGACGCACAUCACCAGCUUGAUCUUGCUCUCGUCGUCGUCGGCCGGCGAGGUCGAGUUGGCCGGCCGGCUCCUCGAACUAGGGCAUGGGAAGCAUGGAGACACAUGAGGAAAAAUGAAGGUUUUAUAUGACUUGUUACCUUGUAUGCACGGAGCGAGGCAUCCAAACAGCAAAAAUAGCAAGGUGGUCGUCAUCACACACACUCUACCACCACCAUAGCUACUCUUCAUACUGGAUCCUUUUGCCUAUAUAUCUAGUUCUACGAACGUCUGAACUGUGUGAGAGUCAGAUUAGACCAUAUGGAAUGGCUUGGGAUCUUGAUAUAUAUAGGCACUCAGCAAAAGACAGAAAAAAUCCAACUAAACUGGUGGUGAGAUAUGCGGACGAACACUUGGAGAUCGGCAUCGGACAAAUGCAGAGAACAUGAAAGACACACGUCAGUUAUUUGUAGAUAUUGCAGUAUAUAUAUGAUCAAUCUCAAAGAUAUGUUAUAUAAUUGGUAGAAAAAUAUACUAGAUAUUUUAUAUAAUAUGUAGAAUGAUAUAUUGAUGUGCUGUAAAUACAUUAGUAAUUGUUUGGGAGAUUGCACGGUUGUACAAUGUUUAUUAGCAGCUAUCCAGAGAGUGCUGUUAGUUGGCCUUGUUUCACAAA
Panicum virgatum (switchgrass) is the source of this 1007-nucleotide long non-coding RNA. RefSeq lists it as uncharacterized. The record is from RefSeq and is a predicted model, not a curated record. The transcript is spliced from 3 exons. NCBI's taxonomy places the organism in Eukaryota, Viridiplantae, Streptophyta, Magnoliopsida, Poales, Poaceae.